This 891-nucleotide ribosomal RNA is filed under the name Enterococcus lactis. RNAcentral's name for it is "bacterial SSU rRNA". It matches the Rfam family "Bacterial small subunit ribosomal RNA", at positions 61 to 922 of the family's 1533-position model. The record is from RNAcentral. Lineage: Bacteria; Bacillati; Bacillota; Bacilli; Lactobacillales; Enterococcaceae.
GUCGUACGCUUCUUUUUCCACCGGAGCUUGCUCCACCGGAAAAAGAAGAGUGGCGAACGGGUGAGUAACACGUGGGUAACCUGCCCAUCAGAAGGGGAUAACACUUGGAAACAGGUGCUAAUACCGUAUAACAAUCGAAACCGCAUGGUUUUGAUUUGAAAGGCGCUUUCGGGUGUCGCUGAUGGAUGGACCCGCGGUGCAUUAGCUAGUUGGUGAGGUAACGGCUCACCAAGGCCACGAUGCAUAGCCGACCUGAGAGGGUGAUCGGCCACAUUGGGACUGAGACACGGCCCAAACUCCUACGGGAGGCAGCAGUAGGGAAUCUUCGGCAAUGGACGAAAGUCUGACCGAGCAACGCCGCGUGAGUGAAGAAGGUUUUCGGAUCGUAAAACUCUGUUGUUAGAGAAGAACAAGGAUGAGAGUAACUGUUCAUCCCUUGACGGUAUCUAACCAGAAAGCCACGGCUAACUACGUGCCAGCAGCCGCGGUAAUACGUAGGUGGCAAGCGUUGUCCGGAUUUAUUGGGCGUAAAGCGAGCGCAGGCGGUUUCUUAAGUCUGAUGUGAAAGCCCCCGGCUCAACCGGGGAGGGUCAUUGGAAACUGGGAGACUUGAGUGCAGAAGAGGAGAGUGGAAUUCCAUGUGUAGCGGUGAAAUGCGUAGAUAUAUGGAGGAACACCAGUGGCGAAGGCGGCUCUCUGGUCUGUAACUGACGCUGAGGCUCGAAAGCGUGGGGAGCAAACAGGAUUAGAUACCCUGGUAGUCCACGCCGUAAACGAUGAGUGCUAAGUGUUGGAGGGUUUCCGCCCUUCAGUGCUGCAGCUAACGCAUUAAGCACUCCGCCUGGGGAGUACGACCGCAAGGUUGAAACUCAAAGGAAUUGACGGGGGCCC